Molecule: ribosomal RNA, 403 nt
Filed under: uncultured bacterium
Lineage: Bacteria
Description: partial 16S ribosomal RNA
Rfam family: Bacterial small subunit ribosomal RNA
Source: RNAcentral
AUUGAACGCUGGCGGCAGGCCUAACACAUGCAAGUCGAGCGAGCGGCGGCCGGGUGAGUAAUGUAUGGGGACUGCCCGAUAGAGGUGGAUAACUACUGGAAACGGUAGCUAAUACCACAUACCAUCGGAUAACACAUAUGGGAUUAGCUAGUAGGUGAGGUAAUGGCUCACCUAGGCGACGAUCCCUAGCUGCUCUGAGAGGAUGAUCAGAAACACAGGGACUAAGACACGGCCCAUACUCCUACGGAGGGAGAGGUGGGGAAUAUUGCACAAUGGGCGCGAGCCUGAUGCAGCCAUGCCGCGUGUAUGAAGAAGGCCGUAGGGUUGUAAAGUACUUUCAGUCGGGGAACGUUACCGACAGGAAAAGCGCCGGCUAACUCCGUGCCAGAAGCCGCGGUAAUAC